CCCUUAGAUGUUCUGGGCUGCACGCGUGCUACACUGAUUCCUUCAACAAGUGUUUUAACUGGAGAGUUCGCGUAAUCCUGAAAUGUUAUCGUGAUGGGAGUAGAGUAUUGUAUUUGUUAAUCUUUAACGAGGAAUUCCUAGUAAGUGUAGGUUUAUAAGUUGUUCUGAUUACGUCCCUGCCCUUUGUACACACCGCCCGUCGCUCCUACCGAUUGAUUGAUCCGGUGAAUUACAUAGAAUUUUGCGUUUUACAUGACGGAAGAUGAAGUGUUUUAAACCUUAUCAUUUAGAGGAAGGAGAAGUCGUAACA
Molecule: ribosomal RNA, 310 nt
Filed under: uncultured eukaryote
Lineage: Eukaryota
Description: partial 18S ribosomal RNA
Rfam family: Eukaryotic small subunit ribosomal RNA
Source: RNAcentral